AGCAGCCGCGGUAAUUCCAGCUCCAAUAGCGUAUAUUAAAGUUGUUGCAGUUAAAAGCUCGUAGUUGAAUUUCGGGGUUAGUAGGUUGGUCAUGCCUCUGGUAUGUACUGGUCUCACUGAUUCCUCCUUCCUGAUGAGCCGUAAUGCCAUUAAUUUGGUGUUGCGGGGAAUUUGGACUGUUACUUUGAAAAAUUGAGUGUUUAAAGCAAGCUAAUGCUUGAAUACAUUAGCAUGGAAUAAUGAAAUAGGACGUUCGAUCCCAUUUUGUUGGUUUCUAGGAUUGACGUAAUGAUUAAUAGGGAUAGUUGGGGGCAUUAGUAUUCAAUUGUCAGAGGUGAAAUUCUUGGAUUUAUUGAAGACUAACUACUGCGAAAGCAUUUGCCAAGGAUGUUUUCAUUAAUCAGGAACGAAAGUUAGGGAUCGAAGACGAUCAGAUACCGUCGUAGUCUUAACCAUAAACCUAUGCCGACUAGGAAUCGGAUGAUGUUAAUUUUUAAUGACUUCAUUCGUCCG
RNAcentral lists this unclassified non-coding RNA (513 nucleotides) under uncultured Glomus. Its description in RNAcentral is "SSU rRNA". It matches the Rfam family "Eukaryotic small subunit ribosomal RNA", at positions 569 to 1082 of the family's 1831-position model. Lineage: Eukaryota; Fungi; Glomeromycota; Glomeromycetes; Glomerales; Glomeraceae. The record is from RNAcentral.